RNAcentral lists this ribosomal RNA (253 nucleotides) under uncultured bacterium. RNAcentral describes it as "partial 16S ribosomal RNA". It matches the Rfam family "Bacterial small subunit ribosomal RNA", at positions 524 to 776 of the family's 1533-position model. The record is from RNAcentral.
UACAGAGGUCUCAAGCGUUGUUCGGAAUCACUGGGCGUAAAGCGUGCGUAGGCUGUUUCGUAAGUCGUGUGUGAAAGGCGCGGGCUCAACCCGCGGACGGCACAUGAUACUGCGAGACUAGAGUAAUGGAGGGGGAACCGGAAUUCUCGGUGUAGCGGUGAAAUGCAUAGAUAUCACACAGAACACCGAUUGCGAAGGCAUCUCACGAAUCCGCGAUUGACGCUGAUGCACGAAAGCGUGGGUAUCAAACAGG